Molecule: ribosomal RNA, 484 nt
Filed under: uncultured bacterium
Lineage: Bacteria
Description: bacterial SSU rRNA
Rfam family: Bacterial small subunit ribosomal RNA
Source: RNAcentral
GACGAACGCUGGCGGCGUGCUUAACACAUGCAAGUCGAGCGACAGCAUCCUUUCGGGGGUGUAUGGAGCGGCGAACGGGUGAGUAACACGUGAGCAACCUACCCUUGGCUUUGGGAUAACCCUCGGAAACGGGGGCUAAUACCGAAUAUUCAUGACCGGGCGCAUGUUUGGUUGUGGAAAGUUUUUCGGCUGGGGAUGGGCUCGCGGCCUAUCAGCUUGUUGGUGGGGUGAUGGCCUACCAAGGCGACGACGGGUAGCCGGCCUGAGAGGGCGACCGGCCACACUGGGACUGAGACACGGCCCAGACUCCUACGGGAGGCAGCAGUGGGGAAUAUUGCACAAUGGGCGAAAGCCUGAUGCAGCGACGCCGCGUGAGGGAUGACGGCCUUCGGGUUGUAAACCUCUUUCAGCAGGGACGAAGCGAAAGUGACGGUACCUGCAGAAGAAGCGCCGGCCAACUACGUGCCAGCAGCCGCAGUAAAAC